Molecule: ribosomal RNA, 420 nt
Filed under: bacterium
Lineage: Bacteria
Description: partial 16S ribosomal RNA
Rfam family: Bacterial small subunit ribosomal RNA
Source: RNAcentral
UGGGGGAUAUUGCACAAUGGGCGAAAGCCUGAUGCAGCGACGCCGCGUGGGGGAUGAAGGCUUUCGGGUUGUAAACCUCUUUCGCUAUCGAACAAGGCCCGCUUAGGGUGGGUUGAGGGUAGGUGGAGAAGAAGCGCCGGCUAACUACGUGCCAGCAGCAGCGGUAAUACGUAGGGCGCGAGCGUUGUCCGGAAUUAUUGGGCGUAAAGGGCUUGUAGGCGGCUUGUUGCGCCUGCUGUGAAAACGCGGGGCUUAACUUCGCGCGUGCAGUGGGUACUGGCAGGCUUGAGUGUGGUAGGGGUGACUGGAAUUCCAGGUGUAGCGGUGGAAUGCGCAGAUAUCUGGAGGAACACCGAUGGCGAAGGCAGGUCACUGGGCCAUUACUGACGCUGGGGACCGAAAGCAUGGGUAGCGAACAGG